RNAcentral lists this transfer RNA (85 nucleotides) under SAR324 cluster bacterium. Its description in RNAcentral is "tRNA-Tyr". It matches the Rfam family "tRNA". From Rfam's summary of the family: Transfer RNA (tRNA) molecules are approximately 80 nucleotides in length. Their secondary structure includes four short double-helical elements and three loops (D, anti-codon, and T loops). The record is from RNAcentral. Lineage: Bacteria; Deltaproteobacteria.
GGGGAGAUUCCGGAGCGGCCAAACGGGUCAGACUGUAAAUCUGAUGGCACAGCCUUCGGAGGUUCGAAUCCUCCUCUCCCCACCA